This 504-nucleotide ribosomal RNA is filed under the name uncultured bacterium. RNAcentral describes it as "partial 16S ribosomal RNA". It matches the Rfam family "Bacterial small subunit ribosomal RNA", at positions 30 to 523 of the family's 1533-position model. The record is from RNAcentral.
AUUGAACGCUGGCGGCAGGCCUAACACAUGCAAGUCGGGCGGUAGCACAGAGAGCUUGCUCUCGGGUGACGAGCGGCGGACGGGUGAGUAAUGUCUGGGAAACUGCCUGAUGGAGGGGGAUAACUACUGGAAACGGUAGCUAAUACCGCAUAACGUCGCAAGACCAAAGGGGGGGACCUUCGGGCCUCUUGCAAUCAGAUGUGCCCAGAUGGGAUUAGCUAGUAGGGGGGGUAAUGGCUCACCUAGGCGACGAUCCCUAGCUGGUCUGAGAGGAUGACCAGCCACACGGGAACUGAGACACGGUCCAGACUCCUACGGGAGGCAGCAGUGGGGAAUAUUGCACAAUGGGCGCAAGCCUGAUGCAGCCAUGCCGCGUGUAUGAAGAAGGCCUUCGGGUUGUAAAGUACUUUCAGCGAGGAGGAAGGCAUUGUGGUUAAUAACCACAGUGAUUGACGUUACUCGCAGAAGAAGCACCGGCUAACUCCGUGCCAGCAGCCGCAGUAA